RNAcentral lists this ribosomal RNA (515 nucleotides) under uncultured bacterium. RNAcentral describes it as "bacterial SSU rRNA". It matches the Rfam family "Bacterial small subunit ribosomal RNA", at positions 28 to 534 of the family's 1533-position model. The record is from RNAcentral.
GACGAACGCUGGCGGCGUGCUUAAUACAUGCAAGUCGAGCGAGGCCCUUGGAAUUGGAGUCCCUUCGGGAGUGAAGAGUCCUUGGCCUAGCGGCGGACGGGUGAGUAACGCGUGGGCAACCUACCCCAAAGUCCGGGAUAACAGUGGGAAACCGCUGCUAAUACCGGAUGGCUUUACCUGAGGGCAUCCUUGGGUAAAGAAAGGUUACGCUUUGGGAUGGGCCCGCGUCCCAUUAGCUAGUUGGUGAGGUAACGGCUCACCAAGGCGACGAUGGGUAGCCGGCCUGAGAGGGUGAACGGCCACACUGGGACUGAGACACGGCCCAGACUCCUACGGGAGGCAGCAGUAGGGAAUAUUGCGCAAUGGGCGGAAGCCUGACGCAGCGACGCCGCGUGAGCGAAGAAGGCCUUCGGUCGUAAAGCUCUGUCCUUGGGGAAGAAGGCGAAAGCUUGACGGUACCAAGAAGAAAGCCCCGGCUAACUACGUGCCACGCAGCCGCGGUAAAAGUCACGUCG